UACGGAGGGUGCAAGCAUUAAUCGGAUUUAUUGGGCGUAAAGGGCGCGUAGGCGGGUAGAAUAGUCAGAUGUGAAAUCCCGGGGCUUAACCUCGGAACUGCAUUUGAAACUCUCUAUCUUGAGGGUAGGCGGAGAAAGCGGAAUUCCACAAGUAGCGGUGAAAUGCGUAGAUAUGUGGAAGAACACCGGUGGCGAAGGCGGCUUUCUAGCUUAUUCCUGACGCUGAGGCGCGAAAGCAAGGGGAUCAAACAGG
This 253-nucleotide ribosomal RNA is filed under the name uncultured bacterium. RNAcentral's name for it is "partial 16S ribosomal RNA". It matches the Rfam family "Bacterial small subunit ribosomal RNA", at positions 524 to 776 of the family's 1533-position model. The record is from RNAcentral.